UACGGAGGGAGCAAGCGUUACUCGGAAUUAUUGGGCGUAAAGGGCGCGUAGGCGAUCUGAAAAGCUCUGUGUGAAAGCCCACAUGUUAACUGUGGAAGUGCACAGAAAACUGUUGGAUUUGAGUUCAGGAGAGGAAGGCAGAAUUCCCGGUGUAGCGGUGAAAUGCGUAGAGAUCGGGAGGAAUACCAGUGGCGAAGGCGGCCUUCUGGACUGACACUGACGCUGAGGCGCGAAAGCCAGGGGAGCAAACGGG
This 253-nucleotide ribosomal RNA is filed under the name uncultured bacterium. RNAcentral describes it as "partial 16S ribosomal RNA". It matches the Rfam family "Bacterial small subunit ribosomal RNA", at positions 524 to 776 of the family's 1533-position model. The record is from RNAcentral.